AUACAAAACGUUGUCAGUUUUUCCAUUAUCUGAAAUACAAAACGUCUCCCUUCCCUUGGUCGAAAAUGUUCUCUAUCCUCAGCUCAGUAUUCUCUGAUCUUCCAAUCAUCAAAAACCUUAGUAUUAUCUAGGUAUUGUCCAUGAAGCAGUUUUUUUUUUUUUUUUUGAUAUUGUCGAACGAAGGAAAAUUCAACUGGACGAGGAACUAGGUCUGUCUAGAUUCUUUCUUGGUAUCUCUCAUUUGGCGAUUUUUUUUUUGCAGAUGUACCAUCAAGACAUAGGGAUAUGCCAAAAUAAAAGAAGAAAUCCUUCUGAGUAUCAAUAAUCAAUUAGUAGCAUAUUUUGGUAAAAACCGUCGAUGCCAAGGAAUAAUAGUUGUGUAUAUGGAUCAAAAUCAAUACAAUCAUGAUUAGGAUUACAUUUGGAUAUGGAAACCACCUCUACCCAGCUAAAAUACGUCAGGGAUCUGGACGGCUCAGUCUUUUAUCCAAUAUGAAAAACUUUCAAGGAAAUGGAUGAUUUGGGAUUAUUUAUUUAUGCUUAUAUUCAGAUUUGGUUCUCAUUCUGCAAGAUAACUUCAUAUUAUGAAUCUGAUGUUCAAUCGUUACUGGCUCAUGAAGUAUCAAAUAAUAAGCAAUAUAUUUCGAAAUGCUUUGGUGUACUAUUUUGCCUUUAUCAUGCUUUAUCGCUGAUUUCUUUCUUUUCAGAUUUACGAAGUGCCGCCCUGAAGUAUAUAUAUAUAUAUAUAGUAUCAAAAUAUUGGACCUUUACAUGAAGGCGUCUUCCAGAAAUGAACUCAGAGCAGACCAUCAAGCUAUCCCAAAAUGAUAUGAAUCUGCUGCCGCCUUAGAGAUGACACAAAAUGACAGCAUAUAUGGAGAUUAAAAGCUCGGCAAUGGAUAUAGCCUUUCGAAAGGAAAAAAAAGUUCUCAUUGUAGUUCCUGUUAUUCCUUAAAGCUCCGUCACCAUGAGUUGUAUCUUGCUAACAAAGAUAUGAGUGUUUCUUCAAAAUUAGGGGUGGAUUUUGGAUCUCAACGGUAAUCUGCUUGUAGCAUACCCAUGGUCAAUUCAUCUUGGCAUUAAGGAAGGACUGGUGGUCAAGCAACAAACCUGUAAAGAAAGUAUCCUACGUUGUUUAAAAUUAGCACAUCAAAGAGGUAGUAGUUCUUCGUGAUACACGAGUGGACAUUGAAUGGCUAUAAUGUUUCUCAUAACAUUUGAUUCCAAUAGAGAGCAUUGAUUUGCUAAAUUUAUUUACUUUAAAUCCUAAUGACGUGGACUAGCUAGAAUGGAAAAUUUAGUCCAGGUUGUAUAAAGAAAAAUGGUGAUGGAUCAAGUAAGACAUGGAAGUGCUGGCAUUUUAGAAUUUUGGUUUGAAUUAAAUGGUUGCAUCCUAAAGCCUCCUUAUAGCAUAGGCAUUGUCGGUUUAUCAUGAAUGCUUUCUUCAAGAGUGACGCUUCACCGUAGAGGAGACCAGGUAUUGUCUAAUCUAUGAUUGUUGGGUUUAAGGGAAGUGGAAGAUACAAGUCGCACGAUGAUGCAUUAUGAACUUGCUUCAACUGUUUGGAAAUUAUUCAUUUUGUUUUUGGGAUUAAGUUGGGUAUUGUUUUUGGUAUUGUUGGGUAUUGUUUAAACUCAAUUUGAGGGUUUGGAGCUACAUUAGGUUGGAAGGAAGCUAUAGAGCUAUGUUGGCCCGAAUGUUCCAUAUGCAAUAAUUUGGGAGCAAGGAAAGAAUGCAAUGCUAGAUACCAUUGGAAGGGGAAACAAGAACACAAAUGAUCUUUUAUUUUCAGUAAAACAGUCAUUUAUUCUGUGGUGCUCCGAUGAAGACUCAGUCAGGAUGCUUCAUUUCACAAUUUAUGUUUAACUGGGAGGAGAUUGUGUAUUGAUAUAAAAGAUCAUUUUUCCCGUCGUUUUUAUUGAUAGAAAUUGUUGAUCGUCCUUUGUAAAUAUUUUUUAUCCUUUAUUAAGUAACUUUUUCUUUCUCAAA
Long non-coding RNA from Papaver somniferum (opium poppy), 1990 nucleotides. RefSeq lists it as uncharacterized. The transcript has 7 exons. The record is from RefSeq and is a predicted model, not a curated record. NCBI's taxonomy places the organism in Eukaryota, Viridiplantae, Streptophyta, Magnoliopsida, Ranunculales, Papaveraceae.